UCUAGCUCAACUGGUCAGAGCAUGGCAUUAAUACUGCCAGGGUUAGAGGUUUAAUUCCUACUGGGGAACUGCCA
This is a non-coding RNA of Merluccius polli (Benguela hake), 74 nucleotides long. NCBI's taxonomy places the organism in Eukaryota, Metazoa, Chordata, Actinopteri, Gadiformes, Merlucciidae. The record is from the annotation of a GenBank genome assembly.